This 1241-nucleotide long non-coding RNA is filed under the name Homo sapiens (human). RNAcentral's name for it is "HSALNT0322132". Lineage: Eukaryota; Metazoa; Chordata; Mammalia; Primates; Hominidae. The record is from RNAcentral.
CUGCAUAGGGUGUGACUAUCAGGAACCAUGGCUCACUGGAGCACCAUCUUUGGAGUCUAGCUAACACAGCAUCUUGGAUGCACUCCUAAGAGAAGACUACCUGAAAGGCGUGUACACUGGUCUAGCAGUUGAGAUCAGCUAGUGUUCCAUCUAUCUUCUGUCAUGUAUCUCUUCUAAGAUGUCUUGAUCGACUGACCCCAAAGCCAGAGGGUACCAGGUCAAAAAGCAAGAAAACAAACAAUACUGACAUUAGAGAGAAGCAAAGUUUCUAUAGAAAACCUAUUACACUGUGGUAUAAAUCAAGAUGAACCUGCAGACAUCUAUUUUAGUUUGGAAGUCUGGAAAAGUUCAAGAUUGGCCAUCUGCAGCUGGUGAGAGCCUCAGGCUGCUUCCCCUCAUGGUGGAAGGUGAAGGGGAGCUGGUGUGUGCAGAGAUUACAUGCUUUUCUAGGUCAUCAUUCUAGGCUUUGUUGAAGCAUGCAUUUUUGGCAUGAGGGUGGCAGCCUUUGCACUAUGUGCAUGGCUGAGGAGUUAGGAUCUGGAGGGUGAUGAAAGCAAAGGUGCUGCUGGUUACUCUUGGUUCAUCUAGCAAUAGAUGAUCUGAAUGUUAGAGUUCGCCAAAUAUUGUUCCUGGGCAGUCUUUGCUCUACCAAAUCAACUUUCUCCAUGGGGGAGCUAGAAGUCACCCCACAUUCUCCGCCAUGGCCAGCUCUACAUUCUAAGAGAACCAAUGGCUCUACCCAACAUAUUCUUCUCACCACAGAUGACAAAGACACAAGGAGCCAAGACAGAUCAUUCAAGCAUAUUCAUUGCCUCUAUCUUCAUCCCAUUAAAUAACAUCCCGCCAACCAAAGCAAGUUAUCUGCAUAAGAAUAAAUAUUCCACCUACUCUACUGCAAGGCCCUGCAAGAGUCAUGAGACAAAAGGAUCCUCUGUGGACAGCACCCAAGAUGGAAACAACUGACAGUCUAUGGCCAGGGCUAUACUCUGGUGAAACUGAAAGGUGUCUGCAUGGAAGUGUCUGACUACCACCAUCCACUCAGGCAAAUGCAUUUGUUUCCCUCUAUUCAUUAUUAGAAGAGAGGAGAUUACAUACCAGACAUAUACCAAUAGGUUUUCUCUUCAUAAUACCUACGUCAUCUAGUAGCAUAACAUAAGGCAGAAUCCUUCAAAGCAGAUCCACGUAAGACACUUGCAUCCAAGACAAGUCAGAAUGAUUACAUAUGAAAGUUUUAAUUGCAC